CUCUUUGAGUUCCUCUGAAAGUCGUCGGAUGUCUUCCAUAAGGCUGUGUCCCAGUGGAAUGAAGACUGGCCUACCUCCUGGUUUCUGGGGUGCUGACUUCAGUCCCACCAAUUGGUUCCCUCUGUUCCCGCUCAACCAAUGGCUCGUCACCACACUGAUUACCUCUUGCUCAUAAGGAGAGUCCACCUGUUGCUCGAGGCAGCUUGUCACCGCCUAUUGACUUGUGUGCCGCUGGUAUUGACUGUGUACUUUGCUUGUUAGCUGUACAUUGUGUUUAGUGGAACAAUUUGCAUACCUUGUUUGUCAGCUCUACAUUGUGUGUGUAGUGGAGAAAUUCACUUAGUAUUUUUGUUUAAUAUUGAGUUAAUUUUCAUCAGGUGUAGUGGGUGCUGUGCUCCCUUUUUUUUUUUUUUUUUUUUUUGUAUCUUACUGUGUUUCUGUUUGUCUUGUUUCAAAUAGAAGUUAUUAGGAGAGCCAACCACUGUUUUUUUUUCCCACCGGUUAGUUUUAUUGUGCUCACACUAGAUCCUUGAAUGGGCCAUAUUUUGUGUUUCUGGCUGUGUUAAAGGGGGAAACUGAAAGACAGAGUAACCGUUUUGUGUAGUGUGCAGCAUGCAGGUAGUGUUUUUCCAUAGUAUUUGGUUUGAGCGUGUGGGUUAUUUCCUUAUUUGUCUAUCAGUGUGGUUAUAAUUUGUCGGUGCCCAAUUCUACAUCAGUUUCCCUGGUAAUGCAGUCUAGUCCUGAAUUGUGUUUCUUCUUUUGUUUUUGAUGUAACAAAUAAAAUUUACAUUCCUAUACUGA
Molecule: long non-coding RNA, 801 nt
Organism: Micropterus dolomieu (smallmouth bass)
Lineage: Eukaryota; Metazoa; Chordata; Actinopteri; Centrarchiformes; Centrarchidae
Exons: 2
Source: RefSeq, a predicted model, not a curated record